CAAUAGCGUAUAUUAAAGUUGUUGCAGUUAGAACGCUCGUAGUCGGAUUUCGGGGCGGGCCGACCGGUCUGCCGAUGGGUAUGCACUGGUCGGCGCGUCCUUCCUUCCGGAGACCGUCCCUACUCUUAACUGAGCGGGGGCGGGAGACGGGACUUUUACUUUGAAAAAAUCAGAGUGUUUCAAGCAGGCAGCUCGCUCUUGCAUGGAUUAGCAUGGGAUAAUGAAAUAGGACUUUGGUGCUAUUUUGUUGGUUUCGAACACCGAAGUAAUGAUGAGAAGGGACAGUCAGGGGCACUCGUAUUCCGCCGAGAGAGGUGAAAUUCUCAGACCAGCGGAAGACGAACCACUGCGAAAGCAUUUGCCAGGGAUGUCUUCACUGA
This 380-nucleotide ribosomal RNA is filed under the name uncultured eukaryote. Its description in RNAcentral is "partial 18S ribosomal RNA". It matches the Rfam family "Eukaryotic small subunit ribosomal RNA", at positions 592 to 976 of the family's 1831-position model. The record is from RNAcentral.